UGAACCCCAUGUCUUUAUGAAAGCCCAAUAUGAAACAGUUAAAGCAGGUUAUUAAUAAAAUCCUGGAAGGAGUGAGAGGGUGCAGUCGGGCGUUCUGAAGCCUGGCUUCCUUAGCAUUUCUCUCAUCCUCUUCUAGCAACAGAUGGCACUGAAGAACCCUUAGAAUUCCCUGGAGCAGUUUUAAAACCACCAAUCUAAUCCAACCUCUUAAUUCUGCAGAUGGGAAACAUCAUGUGCAUAAAAACUACUAAGGAACUUGCCCAAGGCCACAACAAAACCCCUACCAAAAGUCUGACUUUUCAUCUUCUACUCUGAUGGUUUUUAGAUGUUUAUUCAACACAUAUUUACUGUGUCUAAUUAUGCCAGGCACUGUUCUAGAUGCUAGGGCUAUAGGAUGUGGGUAAACUAAGUCCCUGCUUUCAUGAAGCUUACAUUCUAAGUGGACAGAUUAUAGCAUAAACAAAUGUGUAACGUGGUAUCAUAUAGCAAUAAAGACUACGAAAACACACGAAGCCAGGUAAAAGUGAAGGGGUCCUAUUUUAGAUAAGAUAGUCAAGGAAGGCCCUCCUGAGGAGAUAACAUUUGAGCAGAAACCUGAAUGGAGGGAAGAAGACAUGCAGGCAUCUGGAGGGAGAAGUUUCUAAGGCAGAGGCCCUGAGACUGGAUGUGCUUAGUAUGCUCAAGGAGUAGCAAGGGGAGGGUCAGAGUGGCCAAAGCAGAAUAUGAAAAGUAAGAAAAGGUGAAGGGAGAGGUAGCCAAGUACUAUUACAUCAUAAAGGGCCUUCUGACUGCUGUAAAAAGCUUUUAACACAAAUACGAUGGAAAGCCACCAGAGAUGUAUGAGUGGAGACAGGCACAAUCUGACUUAUAUUUGAAAUGGAUUGCUCUGGCACUGCGGACAGAAAACUGUGUGUAUGUGUGUUCAUCUGUGUUGCGGAGUAGAUGAGGAGAAACAGCAAGUAGUGGCAGGGAGAUCAACUGGGAGGCUACUGAAGCCAUCCAUAGAAGAAAAGCUGGUGGUCUGGACAAGGUGUUAGUUGAAUGAAGGAAGGAAGGAAAAACUGAGUUGAGAAUUACUUCAAGGUGUUUGGCUUGACCAUUGAGAAACGUAUUUUCUCACAGUCCUGGAGGCUGGAGUCAGAGAUCAGGGUGCCAGCCUGGCUGGGUUCUGGUGGGGGCCCUCUUCCAGGCUUGCUCAUGACUGCCUUCUCUCACUGUGUCUCUCCCGUUGUUUGAGCCACAAAAUCUGUGGUAUUUUAUUAUCACAACCUGAGCUGCCUAGACAGGAUGUUAAGACUAGAUGAUCCGGGGAUCUCUUUUGGCUCCAAUAUUGCACAAUUUGAUGUAAUAUUUGAUAAUUUCUGUCUAAUUUUGUAAAAUUUCAUGCUAGCAAUGGAACUAAAGAAGUCUUUGUUUUAGAAUAUCCUUCUGAGAGUUAGGAAUGUAGAUCCAGGCUCCUUGGCUGUUUAGCAUCUCAGGCUGCAUUGUGAUAAGGAAGCAGACAGAAGAACUGGUAUCAAAGCCAAGUGUUUAUCCAAAUUCUACAUUAAGAAUAUAACGUUUUCAGUGAAGGUUUUUGUAGAUGUGAAAAAAGAGUACAUGUGAAAAGUAAGAAAAAGAAAGCCAACAACUGAAAUCUUCCAGGAUAACACCAAAAAAAGUGUUCCAACCUUGGCUUGGCUACAUGGAACACAGAAGGCAUCUACCAUGGUACCAAGGCAUGAAACAGAUGAGCCAGGACUCCCCAGCCCUUCAAUCAGCAGGUGGGCUGCAGCCACACAAAGGCUCACCACCUGAGGAACGACGUCUUGGCUGCAGGGUAACUUACUGAGUGUGGAUGAGCACGUGCUGCUUGAGGUCCUGCCUCCGCAUAAACAACUUGUCACAGUAAUCACACUUAAGAUUCUUCUCCCCAGUGUGGAUAACCAUGUGGGACUCCAGGUGAGCCUUCUGGGUGAAAGACUUGUCACACAAGGUACACCUGUAGUUCUUCUGACCUGCAAUCAGCCCAAAGUAUUACACCGUGAAGAAAACAACUGCUGGCAUCCCCAAGACACACAGGCACACAUAUGUGCAUGCAGCAGAGGCAGGAAUGAAACAGAGCUGACUGGGUCUUGCUCAGUAGCUGCAAGCUGGAGUGCAGUGGCGUGAUCACAGCUGACUGCUGCCUCUACCUCCUAGGCUCAUGAGAUCUUCCCACCUCAGCCCCCAAGCAGCUGGGACCACAGGCAAGUGCCACCAUGCCUGGCUAAUUUGUUUUUAUUUUGCAGAGAUGGGGUCUCCCUAUGUUGCCCAGGCUGGAGGUAGGUAUUAUUCUUAAUCCCACUUUAAAGAUGAGGAAACUUAAGAUUCAAUGAUGCUAGGAAACUUAACCCAGAAUCACAUAACCAGUAAGGAGAGCUGGGAUUUAAAUUCAGAACUAAUUUAAGAAACCAAAGCUCUUAACUAUAGUAAGAAAAAGACAAUUACAAUAAAAGAACUAUAUUGCCUUUUACACAGUUGCAAUACAUUAGGGCCUAUCUACUUAUAUUGUGGCGUAUAUUUAAAGUUCCACAUAGACCUGUUUCUUGCAUUAUUAGGUUUCACCCUUAUCCCUGGCCAUGGAUCCCAUAAAACUAAGCUCUAAGACAUCAAUAAAAUGUAAAAGGCCAACCUAGUACCUUGUAUAGAACAGACAUUCUGAAUUUUCUUAUUUUAUCGGAUGGAGCUAUGCAAACUCAUCACCCUUACCAGAAAGACAGCUAGAAGCACCUGGCAAAUGAGGUACACCUUAUGAAGAACAGCAUGCUAAUAACAGUUUUUAUUAUGCUAUAAAAUAAAGCAGCCCAGGUGUGGUGAUUUACACCUGUAAUCCCACACUUUGGGAGGCCAAGGCAGAAGGAUCGCUUGAGCCCAGGACUUGGAGACGUCCCUAGGCAACACAGUGAGACCCCUGUCUCUACUAAACAUUUUUUUUAACUUAGCCAGGCAUGGUGGUUCGUGCUUGUGGUUCCAACUACAGGGGAGGCUGAAGUGGGGAGGUCGGGGCUACAGUGAGCUCUGCCUGUACCUCUACACGCCAGCUGGGGUGACAGAGUGAGACUGUGUCUUAAAAACAAAAAAAGCAAAAAAUCCCUGUAGCCUAAAGAAAACAUAUCUACCUUAAUUUUGAAAGUUGCUGGGCUUGAGUUGGUUUAAAACAGACUUUUCCCUAACUCUUUAUAGCUACAACCAUAAUUAAAACACUACAAUCACUACAGCUGUAACAGCCUACUUAACAAAUUGGUUACAAUAUUUUUUUAAAAGUACAACUACAAGUCUGCACCUUCAACUCUCAUUCUGAAAAUUCCUGAAUAUUUAUUUAAUUUCAAGAUAAAAAUCAGCAUGGUGUUUCUAGGUUGACUCCUAGGCCUUCUCAAACCAGUUCAAACCAGAGUUUAAUGCGAGAGGCUCAGCAGAUUUCUGCUUUGUUGUGAGUCACUAAAACGUGAUGACCUCAGCAGCCAUAAACCAAAGGUAAUGAGUAUCCCACAGAGAGAAGGCAGAUGAAGGGAAUGUACAAUAUGAUCCUCAUAAGACUUUCUCAUUCUAAAAUGCAGUUCUAUUCUCAUUUUCUUUCUCCUAUGAGAUUCUAAGAAGCAAUCCCGGAAGAAGGCAAGAAUCAAGAUACUAAGCUCUAUCUUCCCUACUCAUUUAGGGUAAAAUAAUUUCCUACACAGUUCUACAGUUUAUGUGUGUGUUUCUAACUGACCUAUGCAACCAUCUGCCAGUUGCUGAUUUUACACCUUUUUCUUCGCAUAAAAUAUAAUAAACUAACUGAAAUGCAGCCACUUUGAAAAAUGCAGUGGGGCUUCAAUAAUUUCAAUGAAUUUGUGCCUUAUCUUCCUUAUUCUAAACAUACGGCCUUUGAAAGGGCCUUGAAAAAACAGCCAAAU
RNAcentral lists this long non-coding RNA (3914 nucleotides) under Homo sapiens (human). RNAcentral describes it as "HSALNT0370342". Lineage: Eukaryota; Metazoa; Chordata; Mammalia; Primates; Hominidae. The record is from RNAcentral.